CCGGUAACAAACUCAACGGGGACGGCGGGCUCAGCCCGACGUCCCUAGACGCCGGGGAUCGGUCGGGCUCCUCAGGGCGCUCGGUCCCCCCGGCGCGGAAUGCGCCAAGGAACUUGAACAAGAGUGCGAUGCUCCCGCCGCCCUACACGGUGCGCGCGCGGGAUGCCAUGCAAUCUCAUAUUACUCAUAACGACUCUCGGCAACGGAUAUCUCGGCUCUCGCAUCGAUGAAGAACGUAGCGAACUGCGAUACUUGGUGUGAAUUGCAGAAUCCCGUGAACCAUCGAGUCUUUGAACGCAAGUUGCGCCCGAAACCUUCGGUCGAGGCACGUUUGCCUGGGUGUCACACAUGGCGUUGCCCCCAAUCCCCUCCGCCCUCUCGGGCGAGCGGGACUCGGGCGCGUAGGAUGGCCUCCCGCGACGACCACGUCCCGGUUGGCCCAAAAUCGAGCGUCGAGCGAUCAGCACCACGACAUUCGGUGGUUGGACCCCAAUGAUCAAUGUCGCGCGUGCCGCUC
This 517-nucleotide ribosomal RNA is filed under the name Eucalyptus nitens. RNAcentral describes it as "eukaryotic LSU rRNA". The stretch from base 192 to 345 matches the Rfam family "5.8S ribosomal RNA". The record is from RNAcentral. Lineage: Eukaryota; Viridiplantae; Streptophyta; Magnoliopsida; Myrtales; Myrtaceae.